RNAcentral lists this ribosomal RNA (112 nucleotides) under Panthera pardus (leopard). The record is from RNAcentral. Lineage: Eukaryota; Metazoa; Chordata; Mammalia; Carnivora; Felidae.
GACAUUUGGCAGAGACUGUUGAAGCCACCUGGUCCCAGCAGACCUCAGAGGUGGCCACAUUCGCUGGUGCUGGGGCAAGAUCGUUGAGGGUGAUGCCUGGUGCCAGAUGUGU